Non-coding RNA from Pelobates cultripes (western spadefoot toad), 1390 nucleotides. The record is from the annotation of a GenBank genome assembly. Lineage: Eukaryota; Metazoa; Chordata; Amphibia; Anura; Pelobatidae.
UCUGGGAAUUUUAGAGGUAUUUUAGUUGGACUCACAGUCAAUCAGAAUAAUUUGCAUGAAACUCAAUAUGUAACUUUUAUCACAUACAAGAUAUAAAGUACUUAGUUACAGAGAAACAAUGCAUAUUCCUAGUACAUAUACAAUCACACACUUGCAUAUUCACCAGAUUAUAAACUUGACCUUCAUAAACAUAACAGACUCAUUCUUUCUUUUCCAUACCCUAGUCAAACAUUAGACUAUGUCUGUUCGUGAACUACAACUGUACCUGCUUUAUGUACACUUUAGGUAAGUGAUUAGAAAAUAUGUACCUUUAAUAGACAAUUUCCCUAUUUUACUACAUUUUUUUUUUAAGACAUAAUUACAAAAGAAAAAGAUACACCAUCAGAGUAAACCCAGUGGUUGGUAUAAAAUAUACUAAAAUUUCAUUCAAUGUCUUACAUAUUAUUAUGUUCACUAAUGUUCAUUUUUCAAAACUUUCAAAAGAAUAUACUAGUGUUUACACUAAUUAGACUCAAAUGCAUUGUGCUGAAGCUUUGCUUUAAUCCAUAUACCACAGCUAAUCCAAUUGCCUCAGGGAAACGCAAACAAUGAACUAAAAUGUACACUAUGUCUGUAUUACCCUAUCUGCAAGGACCUGCGUGUCCAAACCACAUACCACACCUUGUGCUUGUUGCAUAAUGUUUCAUAUAACCCAUUCAAUAAACAGCUUUGAACACUAAUUAGACUCAAAUGUUCAAUGACAUGAAAAAAAAAAAACUUAAAUCUUAAAUCUAAAGCAUGUUUGCAGUUAGCCUUAGAAAAAUGUAAAAUGUUUAAUUGACGUAAUCCAAAUAUAAGAGACUAGGGGACGCUACAUCAGCAGAUCAAAUUGAAUAGAUAAAAUUUUUUCACUAUAACACAAUAUAAAAGUUACAUAAAACAUAUCCAUUUAUAAAAUAAUUAUUGAUAUUUUCGGGAUUAUAAACUGCACGAAGUAAAACAAAAUAUUUAGUCUUGGGGGCACUGGGUACAGCACUUUUUGGUGCAAUUUAGAAAAUGCCUCAUAUUUUUUCAUCUAUUGCUUUGUUUUUCCCAAACUGUCAUUUUUUAAAUUUUUUCGCCAAUGCUAUGAUUUUAUGAAUAUUUCCGGUACUUUUUUUUGUGAGAAAAACAUGGCAGGAUUUUUCUUCCACUGUAAAUUUGGUAGCCUUACUUUUUGGAAUACUUUGAAAAAUAUCCAUUUUAGUUUAUUUUAUAGACUCUCGCUUCCAAAUCAUAUUUAUAAAUGCAUGUCAAUCCAGAUUUUUAUGAACUUGCUGCCAAUAAUUGCAAUUGUAUUUCUAUAGUGGGUUAAUCAACCUUUACCUUUUAGAGUUAUGCUAUUGCUAUGGGUCACUAAUGCCCUGCAAGG